GGCUGCGCACGCGCCGGGGUGAUGGUCCCUGGGUCGCCGCGCUCGCUCGGCGGCAGAGAGGGAUCCUCGCCCGGCCCAGCUCUGACCGCGAGCUCUGAGGUGGCUGAGACGCUGCCCCUGCCUGUCUGCACCGACUGGAGAGACCGAGGCCCAUCAGCGUUCUGAGCCUGCCCCACCAGGAUUUCUCCUGUAUCAGCUCUUUCUGACUCACCCACUGGGUUCUGUUCCAAGAAGAUGAUUUCCCUACAUCUGGGUUCUGCUUUUUAGCCAUGCCUGUAAUUUCUGUUCUCAGUUCCAUGCUCAGAGAGACCACAGUGUUCUGCUUGGACUCCAGAACUCUGCCGUGGUCAGUUGGAAAACUUUCCUGGGGCAGAGAUUUGGGCAAUCACGAGGCUCAUUUGACAAAUACUAUAAACAAAUACACGAAUGUACUUGGGGAUGUCAACAUCCCAAUCUCAGGGAUUGUUGGAACUACUAGAUGGGAAAUCAGCAAAGAUAUAGAAGAUCUGACCACCACCACUGAACAAGAUGUAAUUAACAUUUAUAGAACCUCUACUCAACAACAGGCACUCGGAUCCACGCUUCCCUGAGGACCUCAUCCCUGACCCCAUGGGCUCAGAACCUAACACGUUGCCAAGCUGGUCCCGGCUCCAACAGCGUUUCAAGCAGCACGUUUUGUGUCCGGGUGUGUGUGCAUUUCCUGGGGCUGCCGUGGCAGAGCACCACAGACAGGGGGGCUCAGAACAACGGAAAUUCAUCAUCUCACAGCUCUGGAGGGUAGAAGUUCCAAAUCAAGGUGCUGGCAGGCCCAGGCUCCUUCUGCAACUUGUAGGGGAAGGGUCCUUCCUUUCUCCUGCUGGCUUCGCUGGUUUGCUGGCACGUUUUGGUGUUCCUUGACUUCUGGCCCAUCGCUCCAGUCUUCCAUGUUCACAUGGCCCCUUUCCUCUGCGUUUGUCUUUAUGUCCAAAUUUCCCCUUUUCAUAAGGACACCAGUCAUAUUGAAUUAGGGCCCACCCUAAUGACCUAUUUUAACUUGAUUUCAUCUUCAAAGAUCCUAUUUCCAAAUAACGUCACAUUUUGAGGUGACUAGGAGUUAGGAGUUCAACGUAUCAUUAUUAGGGGACGCAAUUCAAUCCAUCACAGCGUGUUAAGUCACAGCUUUCAGUUAUACGUUCUUGCUUCCUGCACUUAGGGAACUGGGAGUGCUCCAUGGUGCUGCCUUCUUCAAGCUCACCUCCAUCUUUGGGCAACCGUUUGCUCAGGUGCGGCUGGGAAAGGCUGUCCAGGCCCCUGCUACUGUCAUUUCAAGAGCCUUAGAUCCCAGAAGUCAGUGCGGGCAGGGGCUCCUCCAUGUGAAUAAUGCAUCUGACAGCUCACCAAGGAUAGAGACAACCCAGAAGCCCUCUGGGUUCAUCUUACUAGUUGUCCUUACUUUCCCUUCACUCUAAGGGCUUUCUAUUUUUAUCCUGUUGUGCUCUGUUUGUUCUUGCAAUCCUCCUCAACUCUGUUUGGGAAGAAAUAAAGUAUAAAAA
This 1532-nucleotide long non-coding RNA is filed under the name Equus asinus (donkey). RNAcentral's name for it is "lncRNA (ENSEASG00005031415.1)". The record is from RNAcentral. Lineage: Eukaryota; Metazoa; Chordata; Mammalia; Perissodactyla; Equidae.